Molecule: ribosomal RNA, 455 nt
Filed under: uncultured Paludibacter sp.
Lineage: Bacteria; Pseudomonadati; Bacteroidota; Bacteroidia; Bacteroidales; Paludibacteraceae
Description: partial 16S ribosomal RNA
Rfam family: Bacterial small subunit ribosomal RNA
Source: RNAcentral
ACGGGAGGGCAGCAGUGAGGAAUAUUGGUCAAUGGGCGAGAGCUUGAACCAGCCAAGUCGCGUGCGGGACGAAAGCCCUACGGGUCGUAAACCGCUUUUAUACGGGAAUAAAGUGCGCCACGCGUGGCGUUUUGCAGGUACCGUAGGAAUAAGGAUCGGCUAACUCCGUGCCAGCAGCCGCGGUAAUACGGAGGAUGCGAGCGUUAUCCGGAUUUAUUGGGUUUAAAGGGUGCGUAGGCGGACUGUUAAGUCAGCGGUGAAAUACCACGGCUCAACCGUGGGGCUGCCGUUGAUACUGGCGGUCUGGAGUACGAUCGGCGCCGGCGGAAUGUGUCAUGUAGCGGUGAAAUGCAUAGAUAUGACACAGAACACCGAUCGCGAAGGCAGCUGGCGAGAACGAUACUGACGCUGAGGCACGAAGGCGCGGGGAUCAAACAGGAUUAGAUACCCUGGUA